GGGCAGCGGGGAGGAAGCUUGCUUUCUCCGCCGGCGACCGGCGCACGGGUGAGUAACACGUAUGCAACCUGCCCCUGUCAGGGGGACAACCCGCCGAAAGGCGGGCUAAACCCGCGUACAUGCCACCGGGGCAUCCCGGAGGCAGGAAAGGCUUCGGCCGGACAGGGAUGGGCAUGCGGCGCAUUAGGCAGUAGGCGGGGUAACGGCCCACCUAACCGACGAUGCGUAGGGGUUCUGAGAGGAAGGUCCCCCACACUGGUACUGAGACACGGACCAGACUCCUACGGGAGGCAGCAGUGAGGAAUAUUGGUCAAUGGUCGGGAGACUGAACCAGCCAAGCCGCGUGAGGGAGGAAGGUACAGAGUAUCGUAAACCUCUUUUGUCAGGGAACAAAGACUGGGACGCGUCCCCGGAUGAGUGUACCUGAAGAAAAAGCAUCGGCUAACUCCGUGCCAGCAGCCGCGGUAAUACGGAGGAUGCGAGCGUUAUCCGGAUUUAUUGGGUUUAAAGGGUGCGCAGGCGGUCUGUUAAGUCAGCGGUCAAAGCCCGGGGCUCAACCCCGGCCCGCCGUUGAAACUGGCAGUCUCGAGUUGGAGAGAAGUAUGCGGAAUGCGCGGUGUAGCGGUGAAAUGCAUAGAUAUCGCAGCAAAACUCCCAUUUGCAAGGCAGCAUGCCCGCUCCACACUGACGCUGAAGCACAAAAGCGGGGGUAUCAAACAGGAUUAAAUUCCCCUGGCAGUCCACGCAGUAAACGAUGAAUGCUGGCUGUCCGGGGGGACUGACCCCUGGGUGGCGAAGCGAAAGCGAUAAGCAUUCCACCUGGGGAGUACGCCGGCAACGGUGAAACUCAAAGGAAUUGACGGGGGCCCGCACAAGCGGAGGAACAUGUGGUUUAAUUCGAUGAUACGCGAGGAACCUUACCCGGGCUCAAACGGGGAGUGCCGCAGGCAGAGACGCCUGUUUCCCACGGGACACUCCCCGAGGUGCUGCAUGGUUGUCGUCAGCUCGUGCCGUGAGGUGUCGGCUUAAGUGCCAUAACGAGCGCAACCCCCGCGUGCAGUUGCUAACAGAUAACGCUGAGGACUCUGCACGGACUGCCGGCGCAAGCCGCGAGGAAGGCGGGGAUGACGUCAAAUCAGCACGGCCCUUACGUCCGGGGCGACACACGUGUUACAAUGGGUGGUACAGCGGGAAGCCAGGCGGCGACGCCGAGCGGAACCCGAAAUCCACUCUCAGUUCGGAUCGGAGUCUGCAACCCGACUCCGUGAAGCUGGAUUCGCUAGUAAUCGCG
Molecule: ribosomal RNA, 1291 nt
Filed under: uncultured bacterium
Lineage: Bacteria
Description: bacterial SSU rRNA
Rfam family: Bacterial small subunit ribosomal RNA
Source: RNAcentral